This is a long non-coding RNA of Grammomys surdaster, 1515 nucleotides long. RefSeq lists it as uncharacterized. NCBI's taxonomy places the organism in Eukaryota, Metazoa, Chordata, Mammalia, Rodentia, Muridae. The record is from RefSeq and is a predicted model, not a curated record. The transcript has 2 exons.
GCCUCACUGGCCACUUGUCGCUCUGCGGCGACUGGGACCCAGAGACUGCGGGAGAUCUGGAUGAAACAGUCACCGGGCGGGGAGCGACGCCGCAGGCAGCGCGAAGCGGGACGGACGCCAGAGCCUCAGCCGCCUGAGUGCCAGAAACGGGGGCGCGAGAGCAGUCUCUUCUCGCUCAGCUGAAAAACUGUAAAUGAGCCACCAGUGGGAAGGGCUAAGGUCACCGGUAGAAAGAAGUGUUUUAUUUAAUCCAUUUUGCAUCACAAAGGGCUUGCAAGGGUUGCUUUUGUUUUAGUUUGCUUUUUAAUUACCUACGAGUGGGUUUGGGGCGCAGCUCUGUCUGGUAUGGAGGCUCCUUGGUUGAGUCUUACGAGUGAUUUUUGAUGUUUUGGACCGCUGUAAACUUUACAGCUCUUCAGCAGCAACUUUGAAUCACUAGGGUGUAUUUGUCUUUUUAGGAAUUUUUAUGCCAUGCUGCUAAUGUUCAUGAUGAUCAUAAAGGGUGUCCAUAACAAUGGGUGGUAGAUUUUCCUGUACUCUGUAGAAUGACAUUUUUAUUGUGUAGUAGAGGACAGAUUAGUAUGAGAAAUUAAAUACUAAUACGUUUCUACUCCACCCUUCUUCAUGUUCUCCUCAGCAGGCUUCUGAUCACUGACAUGCACCAUCUUUAAAUGACCCCAAGUGUCUGCCCUAAAGUUUCCCAGAAUUGCACUGAGUACCCCGUGGGACACUUGCCUCAUUCUGCCUGAGAACGAUGCUGUUCCAACUCUGGUCACUGAGGGUUAGGGAAGAAGGGAUUCCAGAGUGACUUCUUCCUGGACCUGUUGCAACUUGGAAUUUGGAAAAGAACCCCCAAGGCAUAACCUUGCUUUCCUCUCGGACUUAGUUGAAGACUGUGGCUCCAUCUCCUAUGGAAUCCACUACUUGCACCUUUCUCCGGCUUUCUCUGGGAUUAGCUUUCCAUAAGGGAUGCAGAAUAGAGACCACAAAGAACAGUUCCUAGUUUGAGCCUCAGUUUGGAGAACAAUGGAACUUUGGAGAAGUAGGAUGUGACAAACACAGGCAACUUGAGGACAGUGUCAUGAGACAAGGACAUUUCUUGCUACAGAAAACCACCUUUUGGAGGACAUCAAUCCAGAUGAUUUUGUGAGGUCUUUGGCAUCCAGACAUACUCUUUUCAAAGCCUGGCAGAGAUUAUUUGCAAAGUGGCCAGCACUGGUCUCUUGAAGGAAUUAGAGGUCAAUGGAGUACUUUACCAGUGACUCAAGUAACAUAUGAAAGCUAGUGUAAAUUUAUUGGGAAAGUAUAAAAAAUAUGGAUAGAUAAAAGUGACAGAGGCAUGAACAAAUUGGACAUUUUAAACUCACAACAUGGGCAAGUGAUUGCUGCUUUAAAAAAACCUCAUUGUACAGUCUGCACUGAAACUUUAUUUAUUACUAUUCAUUUAUUUUUACCCAAAGAGAUCUUUAAGCCUGGAAGCAAAAAUUGAAUUUUGCUAGAAAUAACUAAACUCCA